This 464-nucleotide ribosomal RNA is filed under the name uncultured bacterium. RNAcentral's name for it is "partial 16S ribosomal RNA". It matches the Rfam family "Bacterial small subunit ribosomal RNA", at positions 28 to 507 of the family's 1533-position model. The record is from RNAcentral.
GACGAACGCUGGCGGCGUGCUUAACACAUGCAAGUCGAACGGAAAGGCCCCUUUGGGGGUCCUCGAGUGGCGAACGGGUGAGUAACACGUGAGUAACCUGCCCUUGACUUCGUGAUAACUUCAGUAAACUGGGGCUAAUACCGGAUAGGAAUCCUUGCUGCAUGGUGGGGGUUGGAAAGCUUCGGCGGUUUUGGCUGGACUCGCGGCUUAUCGGCUUGUUGGUGGGGUAGUGGCUUACCAAGGCUUUGACGGGUAGCCGGCCUGAGAGGGCGACCGGCCACAUUGGGACUGAGAUACGGCCCAGACUCCUACGGGAGGCAGCAGUGGGGAAUAUUGCACAAUGGGCGGAAGCCUGAUGCAGAAACGCCGCGUGCGGGAUGACGGCCUUCGGGUUGUAAACCGCUUUCAGCAGGGGCGAAGCUUUUGUGACGGUACCUGCAGAAGAAGCACCGGCUAACUACGUG